UUCCCUACACUACGCUUCUAUUAGAUGCGUUUAGAAAACAGCAAAGUGAACUUUUCACACCAGAAGGUUAGGCCAUUUCAUUUUAAUCAUCUUGAGCUAAACUCUGUCUGCAAGAACAAUUUAAAAGUAUCUUUCUUGACCCCUCAUAUCUACUGAUGACAAACGGUUUGAAUUCAACAAAAAAGUGAUUUUAAAAAUCUACUUUUAAUUUUGCAGUGAGAUUUCUAUUUAACAAUUGUGCGGACUCAUUAACAAAAUGUCUAUAUUUAUUAUAUCUAUAGUUCUCUUCAUCCUGCGUUUAAAAGCUUCUAAUAUUUCCUAAAUAUCUUACAAAACAUAGUAAAUGGCUAGUUAUUUUAAACUUUUACAGCAUGUUAAUUCUGUACUAAAGUUUCCAAAAUGAUAGCCUAAAAAAGACUUAGUCAUUUUGAAAUGUAUGUCUAAGCUAGAUUUAUCGUUAUGGUACAUUUAUGACAAUUCCAUUAAAGAAGCAAAAAUGAAGUAAAAAAUAAUAUAAACGUAUUAAGGCAAUAAUGCAAAUUAGGCCAUUUUUUGUGUACUACAAUAUGUAUUCUGCUUUAUUCCUACCCAAUGCUGACAAAAAGUGUCCCUUCCCUCCAGUGCAGUGAACUGAGUUUGGUUUUUGUAUGAGGGUUUAUCACGGUGAUAGGCUGGGGUGGCACUGUGAUACAGACCCAUACAAAAACCUAAGAGCAGUAAACAUACACUUUCCCAUUCUUACAUUGACCAAAAAAAGGACAGGACAGAACACUUCUUGUUGGAAUAUGCUGUAACUUCUGUGUGUAUCAUUUUACUCGAAAGAUAAAUAGUUAAAACAUGUUUUAAUUGGGAGUUUGAAGAUGCAUCACUGCAUGGAAGCAAAUGCUGUCUGCAGUAAAUCCUAACUUUAAAAACUGAUUUAGAAUCACCACAAUACACAUGCUCAGAAUAUGACAUCAGUGUAUAUUACUCACAAGGUUUACCUCGUAUUUAAUUGAAUUCAUGACGCUUUAGCAGACUUUUGUGGUGCCUCAGGUUUUUGUACAAGCAGUGAGUGGAGAUGCAGCACUGUGAUUAUUUUGACUACUGGGGCCGUGGAACUGCAGUCACAGUUUCUUAUGGAACCAUUGUACCACCGACUCUGUUCCCUCUGGUUCAGUGUGACACUGACUCUGCAAAUACAAUCAGGGUUGGUUGUCUUGCAAACGACUUCACCCCAAAUGCUGUAACCUUUCAGUGGACUGACGCCAGUGGGUCAACCCUGUCAGCUUUACAAUAUCCUCUAAUGGAGAAAAACAGCAAGUAUACAGGAGUCAGUGUACUCGAAGUAUCAAAAUCUAACUGGGAUUCAAGAAAGUCUUUCAACUGUGCUGUGACUCAUUCUGGAACCUCAAAAAGUGUGGAAAUUAAAAAACAAGAUACUCAAUGUCCAAAGAUAGCAUCGAAAGCUCCCAUCACAAUAGAACUGAAAAAAUCAAGUCCCAAAGAAGUGUUCAAUAACAACCAGAUAACGUUUGAGUGUAUCAUCAGUGGAGAGGACGAGGCCACUCUAAAUGCAUUUACAAUCUCUUGGAAAGUCAAUGGAAAAAAUUGGACCAAAAACACUGAAAAUGGGAGGUCCGGAGGAAAAUCCAGCACGAUGAAGCUCAGUGUCGAUGAACUGAAAGAUGCCACUAAUGUGGGCUGUUCUGCCACUGGAAGAAAUGGGGUACCAGUUGAGAAAGAACUGACUCUCCAAACAUCAGGUGGAAAUGUGCCAACAGUAGCAGUCCACACACUCCCAAACAAUGACAUCAAAGAAGACACACCCAUCACUCUGGUGUGUCUGGUCUUCAGUACAGUGCAGCGGGAUUACUACAUCGCCUGGAACAUUGCAAAUAAAACCAUAAACUACCAAGAUGGCAUUGACUUCCCCGCCCAGAAGUCUGAAAAAGGCUACUAUGUUACAAGUAUUUACACCACCAACAAGACAGAUUGGAAAAAUAACAAGUUCUCCUGCAUCGUCUGGUAUCCUGGCAGCAAAGAAAACAUAAGUGAUGUUUCUAGCUCAAUGGAUACAUCCUUUGAAUGCUCAAAACUGAGUUUUCAUCUGAGCUGCACAGAGGGUGCCAUCGAGGAGGAUGACUACAGCAGCCUUUGGUCCACAACUUUGUCCUUCAUAUUCCUCUUCAUAUUCUCUCUCCUCUAUAGCAUGAUAUUCAGCAUGGUCAAGAUGAAGAGACCAUAGAGGGUGAGCUGGGUCCAUCAUAGACAACAAUGACACGUGUUCAACUGCGUGUUUUGUCUUUUUGUUGUUUUUAAGACGUGUAGAUAAUCUAAAUAUACUGUUUAUUUUCUAAAUGAAUUGAUCAUCCUACCAAACGCAUCACAAAUAAAAUUCUAGGAAAUGGAUUUUGUAACUUCAUAAAAAAAAAACAUAUUGCUAUUGUGAAUCAUUUAUAUGAAAACACUUUCCACAAUGCAGAAGGGAAUAAGCUUGUAUCUAUAAUCUGGCAUAUAGCAUUUCUUGUCUUUUUGAGAUGGUAGAUUUUUAUGCAUGGUCCUUCUUCAAUAAUGAUAAAUAAUAUAAUUAAAAAUAUGUAUAGUAUACAAUUAACUGAUUAAGUUUUUGAUACUUUUUCUAGAAAUUC
Molecule: non-coding RNA, 2630 nt
Organism: Eleginops maclovinus (Patagonian blennie)
Lineage: Eukaryota; Metazoa; Chordata; Actinopteri; Perciformes; Eleginopidae
Source: the annotation of a RefSeq genome assembly